This 459-nucleotide ribosomal RNA is filed under the name uncultured bacterium. Its description in RNAcentral is "partial 16S ribosomal RNA". It matches the Rfam family "Bacterial small subunit ribosomal RNA", at positions 28 to 523 of the family's 1533-position model. The record is from RNAcentral.
GAUGAACGCUGGCGGCGUGCCUAAUACAUGCAAGUCGAGCGGUAAGGCCUCUUCGGAGGUACACGAGCGGCGGACGGCUGAGUAACACGUAGGAACAUACCCCAAAGUGAGGGAUAACUGCUCGAAAGAGUAGCUAAUACCGCAUGUGGUCUUCGGAUUAAAGCUUCGGCGCUUUGGGAAUGGCCUGCGUCUGAUUAGCUAGAUGGUGAGGUAAUGGCUCACCAUGGCGACGAUCAGUAGCUGGUCUGAGAGGAUGAUCAGCCAGACUGGGACUGAGACACGGCCCAGACUCCUACGGGAGGCAGCAGUAGGGAAUUUUCCACAAUGGGCGAAAGCCUGAUGGAGCAACGCCGCGUGCAGGAUGAAUGCCUUCGGGUUGUAAACUGCUUUUAUAUGUGACGAAUAUGACGGUAGCAUAUGAAUAAGGAUCGGCUAACUCCGUGCCAGCAGCCGCCGCAG